CCUACGGGGGGCAGCAGUGGGGAAUUGUUCGCAAUGGGCGCAAGCCUGACGACGCAACGCCGCGUGGAGGAUGAAGAUCUUCGGGUCGUAAACUCCUGUCGAGCGGGACGAAAGAUGCGCGGGUUAAUACCCCGCGCAAGUGACGGUACCGCUAAAGGAAGCCCCGGCUAACUCCGUGCCAGCAGCCGCGGUAAUACGGGGGGGGCAAGCGUUGUUCGGAAUUACUGGGCGUAAAGGGCUCGUAGGCGGCCAACUAAGUCACACGUGAAAUCCCCCGGCUCAACCGGGGAACUGCGUGUGAGACUGGAUGGCUUGAGUUUGGGAGAGGAAUGCGGAAUUCCAGGUGUAGCGGUGAAAUGCGUAGAUAUCUGGAGGAACACCGGUGGCGAAGGCGGCAUUCUGGACCAACACUGACGCUGAGGAGCGAAAGCCAGGGGAG
Molecule: ribosomal RNA, 439 nt
Filed under: uncultured Vicinamibacter sp.
Lineage: Bacteria; Pseudomonadati; Acidobacteriota; Vicinamibacteria; Vicinamibacterales; Vicinamibacteraceae
Description: bacterial SSU rRNA
Rfam family: Bacterial small subunit ribosomal RNA
Source: RNAcentral